RNAcentral lists this ribosomal RNA (440 nucleotides) under uncultured bacterium. RNAcentral describes it as "partial 16S ribosomal RNA". It matches the Rfam family "Bacterial small subunit ribosomal RNA", at positions 338 to 795 of the family's 1533-position model. The record is from RNAcentral.
CCUACGGGAGGCAGCAGUGGGGGAUAUUGCACAAUGGGGGGAACCCUGAUGCAGCGACGCCGCGUGGGUGAAGAAGCGCCUCGGCGCGUAAAGCCCCUUCAGCAGGGAAGCAAAUGACGGUACCUGAAGAAGAAGCCCCGGCUAACUACGGGCCAGCAGCCGCGGUAAUACGGGGGGGGGAAGCGUUAUCCGGAUUUACUGGGUUGAAAGGGGGCGCAGACGGCGCUGCAAGCCAGGAGGGAAAGCCCGGGGCCCAACCCCGGUACUGCUGUUGGAACUGGGUGGCUGGAGUGGAGGAGGGGCAGGCGGAAUGCGUGGUGUAGCGGUGAAAUGCGUAGAUAUCAGGAGGAACACCGGUGGCGAAGGCGGCCUGCUGGACUGCAACUGACGUUGAGGCCCGAAAGCGUGGGGAGCAAACAGGACUAGAUACCCUAGUAGUC